GUGUGCGUGUGUCAGCUAUGGUCUUUAUGGAGACUAACAUUCUGCUGCUGGAUUUUGCUGGAAGCCAGAUUCUGAAGAUGUGUGUAGAAAUCCUAUGGCUGGAAGAUUAAAAAAAAAUAAAUGAGGACAAAGCAGAAGAUUGGGAUGAGUGUGUGGAAGCUUAAAUUGCUGAACAUCUACACCAGCUGUCUUGAACUGGAGAGGAAAUUGCAAAGGUGAACUUUCUGCUUUGCGAGGAUGGGGACAAGCAGCCCGGUGCCACCUGGCGGCAGCAGGUAAUGUGCUUGCAGCAGAUCGCUUCGUGCCUUUGAACUGCUGGCUCUGAUUGAUCAAAGGCGGGUCCGAACCUCCCGCUGCAGGUUCAA
Tympanuchus pallidicinctus (lesser prairie-chicken) is the source of this 365-nucleotide long non-coding RNA. RefSeq lists it as uncharacterized. The record is from RefSeq and is a predicted model, not a curated record. NCBI's taxonomy places the organism in Eukaryota, Metazoa, Chordata, Aves, Galliformes, Phasianidae. The transcript is spliced from 3 exons.